CGCACGCCCGGCGGCGCGCUCUUGGCUGGGGUUAAAGGGCAGGUUUCUGGCGAACCUGCAAUGAGAAGCGAUCAGAAGCGCCAGCAUUACUGGUUGGAACAACACGCUGUUAGUGAUCUACUGGAUACCUCUUGGGCCCCGCUUGCUCCAGCCUUUGUAGUGACAGCCAGAUUCAUGCCGGUGAAACCUGACAGCCCCUCACUUGACUUUCUGACCUGGGAGCUUCUCUACAACCUUUGGAAACAGGAGCACAACCUGAAAGUGAUGAAUUCCCAAAUAAAGAACUUACGCAUAAUCUGGAGGACACAGGCUCUACUUUCCACAGAGAACCCAACUUAAGAGAUAAAGGUUAAACGUUUCUACCGUCUGUGGAACAUGGAAUCAAACCAGAAUAUGUUGGCAUAACAGGCCAGUCAAACCGGUUCUUCUGUGGAUCCAGAACCCGUCCAACCAGUCUGCAUCAAAGGCUAGCCCAACAAGCUGCAGCGGCUCAGCUCUGCUAAGCUUGUACCGGCAUGGCUUGCCAAGUGGUGCCAUGUCUGCAGCCAGGAUCCGA
This 556-nucleotide long non-coding RNA is filed under the name Equus asinus (donkey). Its description in RNAcentral is "lncRNA (ENSEASG00005023875.1)". The record is from RNAcentral. Lineage: Eukaryota; Metazoa; Chordata; Mammalia; Perissodactyla; Equidae.